RNAcentral lists this unclassified non-coding RNA (336 nucleotides) under soil metagenome. Its description in RNAcentral is "partial contains 5.8S ribosomal RNA, internal transcribed spacer 2, and large subunit ribosomal RNA". The stretch from base 1 to 119 matches the Rfam family "5.8S ribosomal RNA", at positions 36 to 154 of the family's 154-position model. The record is from RNAcentral.
AUGAAGAACGCAGCGAAAUGCGAUAAGUAGUGUGAAUUGCAGAAUUCAGCGAAUCAUCGAAUCUUUGAACGCACAUUGCGCCCCUUGGUAUUCCAUGGGGCAUGCCUGUUCGAGCGUCAUUUGUACCUUCAAGCUCUGCUUGGUGUUGGGUGUUUGUCUCGCCUCUGCGUGUAGACUCGCCUCAAAACAAUUGGCAGCCGGCGUAUUGAUUUCGGAGCGCAGUACAUCUCGCGCUUUGCACUCAUAACGACGACGUCCAAAAGUACAUUUUUACACUCUUGACCUCGGAUCAGGUAGGGAUACCCGCUGAACUUAAGCAUAUCAAUAAGCGGAGGA